Chiroxiphia lanceolata (lance-tailed manakin) is the source of this 246-nucleotide long non-coding RNA. RefSeq lists it as uncharacterized. The record is from RefSeq and is a predicted model, not a curated record. The transcript has 3 exons. NCBI's taxonomy places the organism in Eukaryota, Metazoa, Chordata, Aves, Passeriformes, Pipridae.
GGGUCACCUGUCCUGGCUGUGUCUCCUCCCAGCCUCACGGGCACCCCCAGUCUCCUCACCAGCGUGGCAGUACAAAAAGCAGAAAAGGCCUUGGCUCUGUGUGAGCCCUGCUCAGCAAUAACAAAAACAUCCCUCUGUUAUCAACCCUGUGUUUCGCACAAGUCCAAAACACAGCCCCAUACCAGCCACUGCGAAGAAAACUAACUCUACCUCAGCCAAAAUCAGCACAGGCAGUUCAUAUAUCCC